This is a long non-coding RNA of Populus nigra (black poplar), 366 nucleotides long. RefSeq lists it as uncharacterized. The record is from RefSeq and is a predicted model, not a curated record. The transcript is spliced from 3 exons. NCBI's taxonomy places the organism in Eukaryota, Viridiplantae, Streptophyta, Magnoliopsida, Malpighiales, Salicaceae.
AGUUGAGCUCUUGAGUAGUAAACCGUAAGAGAGAAGGGAGAAGGGAGAAAGAAGAAGAAGAAGAGAAAAAAGGGAAAUUAUAAAGGAAAUAGGAAGGAGUUGGAGGAAAUAAGUAAAAAGAUAAUCCUGAUAUUCUACCGGCGGGACGUCAGUAGGAUUUUCUUCGAUAUCAGCUUUGAGUUUUGUUGCUUUCGAGUCAGGCUUAUAGCUUGAUAGCAGGUCAUUUUGUUGGACCUUCAGAACAUGCUUUUUGGUUGUACUUUGUACCUUUCUUUUAUGUCUAGUUAGUGCUCCAAAACUCUGAACUUUUAUAAACUUUUGUAUUAAGACAAUUCAAUUAUAUUAUGAAAUUGAUUUUGUUGUUAA